RNAcentral lists this ribosomal RNA (468 nucleotides) under uncultured bacterium. RNAcentral's name for it is "partial 16S ribosomal RNA". It matches the Rfam family "Bacterial small subunit ribosomal RNA", at positions 28 to 507 of the family's 1533-position model. The record is from RNAcentral.
GACGAACGCUGGCGGCGUGCUUAACACAUGCAAGUCGAACGGAAAGGCCCUGCUUUUGUGGGGUGCUCGAGUGGCGAACGGGUGAGUAACACGUGAGUAACCUGCCCUUGACUUUGGGAUAACUUCAGGAAACUGGGGCUAAUACCGGAUAGGAGCUCCUGCUGCAUGGUGGGGGUUGGAAAGUUUCGGCGGUUGGGGAUGGACUCGCGGCUUAUCAGCUUGUUGGUGGGGUAGUGGCUUACCAAGGCUUUGACGGGUAGCCGGCCUGAGAGGGUGACCGGCCACAUUGGGACUGAGAUACGGCCCAGACGCCUACGGGAGGCAGCAGGGGGGAAUAUGGCACAAUGGGCGGAAGCCUGAUGCAGCAACGCCGCGUGCGGGAUGACGGCCUUCGGGUUGUAAACCGCUUUCGCCUGUGACGAAGCGUGAGUGACGGUAAUGGGUAAAGAAGCACCGGCUAACUACGUG